GAGCGGUAGAGAGGAGCUUGCUUCUCUUGAGAGCGGCGGACGGGUGAGUAAUGCCUAGGAAUCUGCCUAGUGGUGGGGGAUAACGUUCGGAAACGGACGCUAAUACCGCAUACGUCCUACGGGAGAAAGCGGGGGAUCUUCGGACCUCGCGCCAUUAGAUGAGCCUAGGUCGGAUUAGCUAGUUGGUGAGGUAAUGGCUCACCAAGGCGACGAUCCGUAACUGGUCUGAGAGGAUGAUCAGUCACACUGGAACUGAGACACGGUCCAGACUCCUACGGGAGGCAGCAGUGGGGAAUAUUGGACAAUGGGCGAAAGCCUGAUCCAGCCAUGCCGCGUGUGUGAAGAAGGUCUUCGGAUUGUAAAGCACUUUAAGUUGGGAGGAAGGGUUGUAGAUUAAUACUCUGCAAUUUUGACGUUACCGACAGAAUAAGCACCGGCUAACUUCGUGCCAGCAGCCGCGGUAAUACGAAGGGUGCAAGCGUUAAUCGGAAUUACUGGGCGUAAAGCGCGCGUAGGUGGUUCGUUAAGUUGGAUGUGAAAGCCCCGGGCUCAACCUGGGAACUGCAUCCAGAACUGGCGAGCUAGAGUACGGUAGAGGGUGGUGGAAUUUCCUGUGUAGCGGUGAAAUGCGUAGAUAUAGGAAGGAACACCAGUGGCGAAGGCGACCACCUGGACUGAUACUGACACUGAGGUGCGAAAGCGUGGGGAGCAAACAGGAUUAGAUACCCUGGUAGUCCACGCCGUAAACGAUG
Molecule: ribosomal RNA, 752 nt
Filed under: uncultured Pseudomonadota bacterium
Lineage: Bacteria; Pseudomonadati; Pseudomonadota
Description: bacterial SSU rRNA
Rfam family: Bacterial small subunit ribosomal RNA
Source: RNAcentral